GCUGCGGUGGUGUAAUGGUUAGCAUAUCUGUUUAGUGUGCAAGACGACCCGGGUUCGAUUCCCGGCCGCAACA
Molecule: non-coding RNA, 73 nt
Organism: Schistocerca cancellata (South American locust)
Lineage: Eukaryota; Metazoa; Arthropoda; Insecta; Orthoptera; Acrididae
Source: the annotation of a RefSeq genome assembly